GCUCUUGUAGCUCAGUUGGUUAGAGCACCCGUUUAGUAAGUGAGAGGUCUUGAGUUCGAUUCUCAACAAAAGCA
This is a non-coding RNA of Capsicum annuum, 74 nucleotides long. The record is from Rfam. Lineage: Eukaryota; Viridiplantae; Streptophyta; Magnoliopsida; Solanales; Solanaceae.